GCACACACAUUUAUUUACACACACACACACACGUUUAAUUCACACACACGUUUAAUACACACACACAUUUACACAGGUGAAAUAAUAAACACACACACAUACGUAAAACACACAUUUAUUUACACACACACACGUUUAAUACACACACACAUUUACACAGGUGAAAUAAUAAACACACACACAUACGUAAAACACACAUUUAUUUACACACACACACACACUGUUCACAUUUAUUUACACACACACACUUGGUAAUGAGUUACUGUCAGUGACAUGGUGUGACGUCACCAUUAAUAAACAGCAUCCUCCUAAAAUCACGUGACUGUUCAACGCUAACGGUUAGCUUCCUGAUGCUCACUAACACUAACAGUUAGCACAGAGCGGCUAAGCUAACCAUGAUAUUAAUAAGUGGGACAGUUUGAGCCUUUAAUAACAAACUGUUUAAUAUGAACUUCUUCAAAUGUCCCUGAACGGGCCCGGCUCUGCUGACAGUUAGCUCAUUGCUAACGUUAGCACGGAGAGAAAACGCCCUGAGAGCGGGCCGACAGAACAAUAAAAUGAACGACAUGUACGCUGUUGUCAACAAACAGAAACAGCCCCGCCCAUGUUCACAUGACCCAACCUACUCCACCUUAGCCCCGCCCACACACAGCAGUGCGUCGACACCCCUCCAUUACUAUGACAACGAUCCUUCAUCAACCAUCUAUAGCGUGGUCAAGAAGAGUCCGACGACCAAUCAGAGACCGACCACAGGAUCAGGUGAAGGUCAGACAGCGUCUGAAAAUGACUACGAAGACCUGAGCUGUGUGUGUCGUCCUGAAGACAUCGGUUUUAACUGUAGAGUUCAGAAACCUAAAGGACCACGAGGAGCUCCAUCAGACUGGACUCAUCUACAGCCCUGAGUGUGUGUGUGUGUGUGUACGUGUGCGCGUGUGUCUGUGUUUCUCAGAAGUAUCUCUGGAAAAAUGUAAAGACUGUUUAAUGUUAUUGGAGAGUUUUUUGUUGAUUCAGAGGCUCUGAUAUGAAAGCUUGUGUCACUCUGUAGUUACUAAGGGUGUAAGUAAAAAUAAAGUCUGCGAUAUAUCGCGAUAUUUCA
This 1096-nucleotide long non-coding RNA is filed under the name Gouania willdenowi (blunt-snouted clingfish). Its description in RNAcentral is "lncRNA (ENSGWIG00000012154.1)". Lineage: Eukaryota; Metazoa; Chordata; Actinopteri; Blenniiformes; Gobiesocidae. The record is from RNAcentral.